UCCCCAGAGAACUCACUCUGAGUGGGCCUGAAUGAGUCAGACACACUGGGAAGUCACCCACACCUCCAGUCAGGUGACAGAGCUCAAUGUAUAAUCCACGUUAGAGUCUUUCCUUGGAUUGCUUAUUGUGGCCGUUGGGGCCAAAAUUGUAAGGCUUUUAGAGUGUGCCUAAUCUUAGAAAAUGCAUCAUCCUGUUUUCCUUUCUGAUAAUUACCAUCUUUGCUUCCAUUACUUCCAGCUAACGAUCACCUCUCCAGGCCAACUUUGCCAGGAAACCCAGCCACUGGUAGGAGUGGCCCCUCAGGAUCCACCAGCACAGCCCUCACAGACCCCAGAGCCCAGCUGCGGGCCUAUAUAGACAGCCACCCUGUGGUCAUCUUCAGCAAGUCCACGUGCAGACGCUGUACUGAGGUAAAGAAGUUAUUUAAAUCAAUGUGUGUUCCUUAUUUUUUGCUCGAACUUGACCAGGCAGGCGAGGAAACUGAGUCCCAGACAAGUCAAAUAACUUCCCUAAAGUCAUACAA
This is a long non-coding RNA of Phyllostomus discolor (pale spear-nosed bat), 524 nucleotides long. RefSeq lists it as uncharacterized. The record is from RefSeq and is a predicted model, not a curated record. NCBI's taxonomy places the organism in Eukaryota, Metazoa, Chordata, Mammalia, Chiroptera, Phyllostomidae. The transcript is spliced from 3 exons.